GUGACCGUAGCUCAGGGGUAGAGCACUGGAUUGUGGCUCCGGGAGUCGCGGGUUCAAAUCCCGUCGGUCACC
Molecule: transfer RNA, 72 nt
Filed under: Myxococcales bacterium
Lineage: Bacteria; Pseudomonadati; Myxococcota; Myxococcia; Myxococcales
Also listed under: 1 other name
Description: tRNA-His
Rfam family: tRNA
About the family: Transfer RNA (tRNA) molecules are approximately 80 nucleotides in length. Their secondary structure includes four short double-helical elements and three loops (D, anti-codon, and T loops). Further hydrogen bonds mediate the characteristic L-shaped molecular structure. tRNAs have two regions of fundamental functional importance: the anti-codon, which is responsible for specific mRNA codon recognition, and the 3' end, to which the tRNAs corresponding amino acid is attached (by aminoacyl-tRNA synthetases). tRNAs cope with the degeneracy of the genetic code in two manners: having more than one tRNA (with a specific anti-codon) for a particular amino acid; and 'wobble' base-pairing, i.e. permitting non-standard base-pairing at the 3rd anti-codon position.
Source: RNAcentral